Molecule: small nuclear RNA, 107 nt
Organism: Octodon degus (degu)
Lineage: Eukaryota; Metazoa; Chordata; Mammalia; Rodentia; Octodontidae
Source: Ensembl
GUGUUCACUUUGGCAGCACCUAUACUAAAAUUGGAACAAUACAGAGGAGAUUAGCAUGGCCCUUUUGCAAGGACGACACGCAAAUUUGUGAAGCAUUCCGUAUUUAA